Toxorhynchites rutilus septentrionalis is the source of this 1168-nucleotide long non-coding RNA. RefSeq lists it as uncharacterized. Lineage: Eukaryota; Metazoa; Arthropoda; Insecta; Diptera; Culicidae. The record is from RefSeq and is a predicted model, not a curated record. The transcript is spliced from 4 exons.
GUUCAAACUUUGAAUGAAAAUUUUUACUUCAUAUUAUGUGACUGCUCAAAUAACGUAGAACUGACUCUUACUUAAUUUUUUUUGUAUAACUUUCCUGAUGUUUUCACCAAAACCAAAUCAUUAUAAUACGAAAUCAUUAUCAAACACGAUUCUUGUUCAGGAUUUGUCCACUACUUGCGGAAGAACGUAUUGCUCUAUUAUAUAAAAACAUAUUUGUUAAAAAAAUGUUUAUUUUCAUUCAUAAUUUUUAUUUUGUAUACGAGUUUACUGCACCUGAAAAUCCAUAAUCAUUAUCAUUUCCCAAAAGCUGAGCACGAAGCUCCGUACCAUCAACGAGAAUUGACAGUUGUUUGUCAUGUGUUGUCAUGUAAGUCGGAUGUGAUAUGGAUGCCGAAAUUUUGCUUCUUUAUUUCGCUGCUGUGGAACAAAUUCAAGGAUGCAAGUUUCUGCUCAAAGUGAAGCAAUGGUCACAGGCGUACGAGGUUAUCAUGGAACAUAUUGUCACGGACUGUGUUAUCAACGUCAACUUCCCUUAUUUGGAAUAACUACUGAACGAGUUCAAGGAUGUCAAAAAAAUCUCCAAAAAGUUCAUCAAAGGGCAGAUUUUGAGCGACUUUAUCGAGCUAAAUGUGAAGUUUGACCUGCUCGGGAUGCUCUCGACGACGAGGUGGCCGAGGCUCUGUUCGAAGAACUCAAGCCCAAACUAUCCGAUCUGUGCUCCGUGAUCAAGAAGUUUCCCUGUCCGACGCCGAAGCAUCGGCUCUGUCAGAGCGAAACCACCCAGCGGUUGGCAUGUCUCAUUCGGCAUUCUCCGCUCAGGAUCUGCGUAUUAACAGCUGUGUGUUCAUGCGAAAUGCGCUCGAAAAGCAGCCUUUUCCCCGGGAGUAUGUGCUCGAGGAAUUGCUGCUUAUGCUAAGCGCGUUUCUGGACGAGGAUUCAACGAGUAUCAAUGAGAUAGUGUUUGAAGGCAAAUUUUAAUGUUAUUUUUAGUUUAGUUUAGAUUAUUACUGCAAUAGGGAAAUAAAAAGACACUCAAGAAUGAACACACAUUCUCUUGUAGGCAAAAAAAAAACUAUUGAAAAAAUAUAUGGCAACAGAGCGUGUGAAAUGAAUCAUGAUAUUUAUGUAUGUUUGGAAAUAAAAUAAUUUGGCAUAUAGUAUAGUGCAA